RNAcentral lists this ribosomal RNA (926 nucleotides) under uncultured archaeon. Its description in RNAcentral is "bacterial SSU rRNA". It matches the Rfam family "Archaeal small subunit ribosomal RNA", at positions 383 to 1315 of the family's 1478-position model. The record is from RNAcentral.
AAGUGUCUCCUGCUAAAGGACCCUUUGGUUAUUGUAGAAUCACUGGUGAAUAAGGGGUGGGUAAGUUCUGGUGUCAGCCGCCGCGGUAAAACCAGCACCUCGAGUGGUCAGGAGGUUUAUGGGCCUAAAGCAUCCGUAGCCGGUUGCAUAAGUUUUCGGUUAAAUCUAUGCGCUUAACGUAUAGGCCGCCGAAAAUACUGUGCAGCUAGGGAGUGGGAGAGGUACACGGUACUCGAUAGGAAGGGGUAAAAUCCUUUGAUCUAUUGAUGACCACCUGUGGCGAAGGCGGUGUACCAGAACACGUUCGACGGUGAGGGAUGAAAGCUGGGGGAGCAAACCGGAUUAGAUACCCGGGUAGUCCCAGCUGUAAACGAUGCAGACUCGGUGAUGCAUUGGCUUGUGGCCAAUGCAGUGCCGCAGGGAAGCCGUUAAGUCUGCCGCCUGGGAAGUACGUACGCAAGUAUGAAACUUAAAGGAAUUGGCGGGGGAGCACCACAAGGGGUGAAGCCUGCGGUUCAAUUGGAGUCAACGCCAGAAAUCUUACCUGGGGAGACAGCAGAAUGAAGGUCAAGCUGAAGACUUUACCAGACACGCUGAGAGGUGGUGCAUGGCCGUCGCCAGCUCGUGCCGUGAGAUGUCCUGUUAAGUCAGGUAACGAGCGAGACCCCUGCGUCUAGUUGCUACCAUUACUCUCUGGAGCAGUGGAGCGAAUUAGACGGACCGCCACAGUUAAUGUGGAGGAAGGAAGGGGCCACGGCAGGUCAGUAUGCCCCGAAACCCUAGGGCUACACGCGGGCUGCAAUGGUAUUGACAUGUGUUCCGAAUCCGAAAGGAGGAGGCAAUCAUCAAACAUAUCUCAGUUAUGACUGAGGGCAUAACUCGCCCUCACGAAUAUGGAAUCCCUAUAACCGCCGGGCUACCGCCCG